AACGAACGCUGGCGGCAUGCCUAACACAUGCAAGUCGAACGAGACCUUCGGGUCUAGUGGCGCACGGGUGCGUAACGCGUGGGAACCUUCCCUUAGGUUCGGAAUAACUCCCCGAAAGGGGUGCUAAUACCGGAUAAUGUCUUCGGACCAAAGAUUUAUCGCCUUUGGAUGGGCCCGCGUUGGAUUAGCUAGUUGGUAGGGUAAAAGCCUACCAAGGCGACGAUCCAUAGCUGGUCUGAGAGGAUGAUCAGCCACACUGGGACUGAGACACGGCCCAGACUCCUACGGGAGGGAGCAGUGGGGAAUGUUGCACAAUGGGCGAAAGCAUGAUCCAGCAAUGCCGCGUGAGUGAUGAAGGCCUUAGGGUUGUAAAGCUCUUUUACCCGGGAUGAUAAUGACGGUACCGGGAGAAUAAGCCCCGGCUAACUCCGUG
This 433-nucleotide ribosomal RNA is filed under the name uncultured bacterium. Its description in RNAcentral is "partial 16S ribosomal RNA". It matches the Rfam family "Bacterial small subunit ribosomal RNA", at positions 29 to 507 of the family's 1533-position model. The record is from RNAcentral.